RNAcentral lists this ribosomal RNA (1020 nucleotides) under Bacillus subtilis. RNAcentral's name for it is "bacterial SSU rRNA". It matches the Rfam family "Bacterial small subunit ribosomal RNA", at positions 164 to 1170 of the family's 1533-position model. The record is from RNAcentral. Lineage: Bacteria; Bacillati; Bacillota; Bacilli; Caryophanales; Bacillaceae.
UAAUACCGGAUGGUUGUUUGAACCGCAAGGUUCAAACAUAAAAGGUGGCUUCGGCUACCACUUACAGAUGGACCCGCGGCGCAAUAGCUAGUUGGUGAGGUAACGGCUCACCAAGGCAACGAUGCGUAGCCGACCUGAGAGGGUGAUCGGCCACACUGGGACUGAGACACGGCCCAGACUCCUACGGGAGGCAGCAGUAGGGAAUCUUCCGCAAUGGACGAAAGUCUGACGGAGCAACGCCGCGUGAGUGAUGAAGGUUUUCGGAUCGUAAAGCUCUGUUGUUAGGGAAGAACAAGUACCGUUCGAAUAGGGCGGUACCUUGACGGUACCUAACCAGAAAGCCACGGCUAACUACGUGCCAGCAGCCGCGGUAAUACGUAGGUGGCAAGCGUUGUCCGGAAUUAUUGGGCGUAAAGGGCUCGCAGGCGGUUUCUUAAGUCUGAUGUGAAAGCCCCCGGCUCAACCGGGGAGGGUCAUUGGAAACUGGGGAACUUGAGUGCAGAAGAGGAGAGUGGAAUUCCACGUGUAGCGGUGAAAUGCGUAGAGAUGUGGAGGAACACCAGUGGCGAAGGCGACUCUCUGGUCUGUAACUGACGCUGAGGAGCGAAAGCGUGGGGAGCGAACAGGAUUAGAUACCCUGGUAGUCCACGCCGUAAACGAUGAGUGCUAAGUGUUAGGGGGUUUCCGCCCCUUAGUGCUGCAGCUAACGCAUUAAGCACUCCGCCUGGGGAGUACGGUCGCAAGACUGAAACUCAAAGGAAUUGACGGGGGCCCGCACAAGCGGUGGAGCAUGUGGUUUAAUUCGAAGCAACGCGAAGAACCUUACCAGGUCUUGACAUCCUCUGACAAUCCUAGAGAUAGGACGUCCCCUUCGGGGGCAGAGUGACAGGUGGUGCAUGGUUGUCGUCAGCUCGUGUCGUGAGAUGUUGGGUUAAGUCCCGCAACGAGCGCAACCCUUGAUCUUAGUUGCCAGCAUUCAGUUGGGCACUCUAAGGUGACUGCCGGUGACAAACCGGAGGA